CGGCGGACGGGUGAGUAACGCGUAGGAAUGUGUCUUGAGGUGGGGGACAACCCCGGGAAACUGGGGCUAAUACCGCAUAUGAGCUGAGGCUCAAAGCCGUAAGGCGCCUUGAGAGCAGCCUGCGUCCGAUUAGCUUGUUGGUGGGGUAAUGGCUUACCAAGGCGACGAUCGGUAGCUGGUCUGAGAGGACGAUCAGCCACACUGGGACUGAGACACGGCCCAG
RNAcentral lists this ribosomal RNA (223 nucleotides) under uncultured bacterium. Its description in RNAcentral is "partial 16S ribosomal RNA". It matches the Rfam family "Bacterial small subunit ribosomal RNA", at positions 96 to 334 of the family's 1533-position model. The record is from RNAcentral.